CGUAACACGUGAGCAACCUUCCGAAAUAUGGGGGAUAGCCGGCCUAACGGCCGAGUAAUACCGCAUACGCUCUCGAUGAGGCAUUUCAUUGAGAGGAAACCUCCGGGGUAUUUCGAGGGGCUCGCGGCCUAUCAGCUAGUUGGCGAGGUAACGGCUCACCAAGGCAACGACGGGUAGCUGGUCUGAGAGGAUGGUCAGCCGGACUGGGACUGAGAUACGGCCCAG
RNAcentral lists this ribosomal RNA (225 nucleotides) under uncultured bacterium. RNAcentral's name for it is "partial 16S ribosomal RNA". It matches the Rfam family "Bacterial small subunit ribosomal RNA", at positions 109 to 334 of the family's 1533-position model. The record is from RNAcentral.